UUUUGGGUAGUAAUAGUUAUGUCCUUGAAACCCAAAGAAUUUGGCGGUAUUUUAUUCUUUUUAGAGGAGCCUGUCCUGUAAUUGACAAUCCACGAUAGGUAAUUACUUGUUUUUGUAUUCAUUUUGUAUACCUCCGUCAUCAGAGUAUCUUUUUAGAGAAAAUAUUCAUGUAAUAUAAAAUAUUUUAUGUCAGGUCAAGGUGCAAUUUAUAAACAAGUAGAGAUGGGCUACAAUAAAUUUAUUUAUACGGAUUGAUAUUGUUAUUUUUAUCAUGAAGGUGGAUUUAAAAGUAAAAUUAAUUCUUUAUUAAUUUGAUUUUAGCUCUAAAAUAUGCACACAUCGCCCGUCGCUCUUAUUUUAAGAUAAGAUAAGUCGUAACAUAGUAGGUGUACUGGAAGGUGUACCUAGA
This 409-nucleotide ribosomal RNA is filed under the name Orthetrum pruinosum. RNAcentral's name for it is "partial 12S ribosomal RNA". It matches the Rfam family "Microsporidia small subunit ribosomal RNA", at positions 752 to 1303 of the family's 1311-position model. The record is from RNAcentral. Lineage: Eukaryota; Metazoa; Arthropoda; Insecta; Odonata; Libellulidae.